UACGUAGGCGGAAAAUUAAGUCAGUAGUGAAAUCCUGCGGCUCAACUGUAGAACUGUUAUUGAUACUGGUUUUCUUGAAUAUAGUUGAGGUAGGCGGAAUGUGUAAUGUAGCGGUGAAAUGCUUAGAUAUUACACAGAACACCGAUUGCGAAGGCAGCUUACUAAGCUAUGAUUGACGCUGAGGUACGAAAGCGUGGGGAGCGAACAGGAUUAGAUACCCUGGUAGUCC
Molecule: ribosomal RNA, 229 nt
Filed under: uncultured bacterium
Lineage: Bacteria
Description: partial 16S ribosomal RNA
Rfam family: Bacterial small subunit ribosomal RNA
Source: RNAcentral